CUUGGUCAUUUAGAGGAAGUAAAAGUCGUAACAAGGUCUCCGUUGGUGAACCAGCGGAGGGAUCAUUACCGAGUUUACAACUCCCAAACCCCUGUGAACAUACCAAUUGUUGCCUCGGCGGAUCAGCCCGCUCCCGGUAAAACGGGACGGCCCGCCAGAGGACCCCUAAACUCUGUUUCUAUAUGUAACUUCUGAGUAAAACCAUAAAUAAAUCAAAACUUUCAACAACGGAUCUCUUGGUUCUGGCAUCGAUGAAGAACGCAGCAAAAUGCGAUAAGUAAUGUGAAUUGCAGAAUUCAGUGAAUCAUCGAAUCUUUGAACGCACAUUGCGCCCGCCAGUAUUCUGGCGGGCAUGCCUGUUCGAGCGUCAUUUCAACCCUCAAGCCCCCGGGUUUGGUGUUGGGGAUCGGCGAGCCCUUGCGGCAAGCCGGCCCCGAAAUCUAGUGGCGGUCUCGCUGCAGCUUCCAUUGCGUAGUAGUAAAACCCUCGCAACUGGUACGCGGCGCGGCCAAGCCGUUAAACCCCCAACUUCUGAAUGUUGACCUCGGAUCAGGUAGGAAUACCCGCUGAACUUAAGCAUAUCAAUAAGCGGAGGA
This 596-nucleotide ribosomal RNA is filed under the name Fusarium proliferatum. RNAcentral's name for it is "eukaryotic LSU rRNA". The stretch from base 217 to 370 matches the Rfam family "5.8S ribosomal RNA". Lineage: Eukaryota; Fungi; Ascomycota; Sordariomycetes; Hypocreales; Nectriaceae. RNAcentral also lists the same sequence under 1 other name. The record is from RNAcentral.